UACAGAGGGCGCGAGCGUUGUCCGGAAUCAUUGGGCGUAAAGAGCGUGUAGGCGGCCCGAUAAGUCCGCUGUGAAAGUCGAAGGCUCAACCCUCGAAUGCCGGCGGAUACUGUCGGGCUAGAGUCCGGAAGAGGCGAGUGGAAUUCCUGGUGUAGCGGUGAAAUGCGCAGAUAUCAGGAGGAACACCGAUGGCGAAGGCAGCUCGCUGGGACGGUACUGACGCUGAGACGCGAAAGCGUGGGGAGCAAACAGG
RNAcentral lists this ribosomal RNA (253 nucleotides) under uncultured bacterium. RNAcentral describes it as "partial 16S ribosomal RNA". It matches the Rfam family "Bacterial small subunit ribosomal RNA", at positions 524 to 776 of the family's 1533-position model. The record is from RNAcentral.